RNAcentral lists this unclassified non-coding RNA (335 nucleotides) under Hevea brasiliensis (rubber tree). The record is from RNAcentral. Lineage: Eukaryota; Viridiplantae; Streptophyta; Magnoliopsida; Malpighiales; Euphorbiaceae.
GCUUGAAGAGAAAGAAGCUCUGGAAGAAAAGUUGGCACUCUGUGAAUAUGAGUUUCGUUUAUCUCAAGAGGACAUUGUACAGCUAAAGAGUGAGUUGCAAAAGAAAAGUCAGACUAGUCCUUGUCCAAUAAGUGAUUUAAAGAUCGAUCCCUCCGAAAACCAUGGAACUGAUUCUCAACAGCAGAAGAGGGAAGGUUCUUUUUCUGAUUUGGGUCCUUUGAAGGAUAAUGAGCGGAAGGAUUUGAACUAUGCUGUAAAGGAGUAUUUACUAUUAGCAGGAUAUCGCUUGACUGCAAUGACAUUAUUGGAAGAGGUUACUGAUCAAGACCUAGAUG